RNAcentral lists this ribosomal RNA (207 nucleotides) under uncultured Actinomycetales bacterium. RNAcentral describes it as "partial 16S ribosomal RNA". It matches the Rfam family "Bacterial small subunit ribosomal RNA", at positions 124 to 334 of the family's 1533-position model. Lineage: Bacteria; Bacillati; Actinomycetota; Actinomycetes; Actinomycetales. The record is from RNAcentral.
AUCUGCCUUGCACUCUGGGAUAAGCUUGGGAAACUGGGUCUAAUACCUGAUAGGAACCGUCUUUAGUGUGGUGGUUGGAAAGUUUUUUCGGUGCAAGAUGAGCUCGCGGCCUAUCAGCUUGUUGGUGGGGUAAUGGCCUACCAAGGCGUCGACGGGUAGCCGGCCUGAGAGGGUGUACGGCCACAUUGGGACUGAGAUACGGCCCAG